GAUCCUGGCUCAGAAUCAACGCUGGCGGCGUGCCUAAUACAUGCAAGUCGAACGCGAAAGUCCCGCAAGGGGCGAGUAGAGUGGCAAACGGGUGAGUAACGCGUGGGCGACCUACCUUCGAGUGGGGGAUAACAUUCCGAAAGGAGUGCUAAUACCGCAUGACAUCCCGUGUUUGGAUACACGGACAUCAAAGCUGGGGAUCGCAAGACCUGGCGCUUGGAGAGGGGCCUGCGUCCGAUUAGCUAGUUGGUGGGGUGACGGCCCACCAAGGCUUCGAUCGGUAUCCGGCCUGAGAGGGCGGACGGACACACUGGAACUGAGACACGGUCCAGACUCCUACGGGAGGCAGCAG
This 352-nucleotide ribosomal RNA is filed under the name uncultured Acidobacteriota bacterium. RNAcentral's name for it is "bacterial SSU rRNA". It matches the Rfam family "Bacterial small subunit ribosomal RNA", at positions 15 to 354 of the family's 1533-position model. The record is from RNAcentral. Lineage: Bacteria; Pseudomonadati; Acidobacteriota.